UACGUAGGGCGCAAGCGUUGUCCGGAAUUAUUGGGCGUAAAGAGCUCGUAGGUGGUUCGGUAAGUCGGAUGUGAAAUCUCCAGGCUCAACCUGGAGGGGUCAUUCGAUACUGCCGUGACUAGAGGUCGGUAGGGGAGUGUGGAAUUCCUGGUGGAGCGGUGAAAUGCGCAGAUAUCAGGAGGAACACCCGUAGCGAAGGCGGCACUCUGGGCCGAUACUGACGCUGAGGAGCGAAAGCGUGGGGAGCAAACAGG
RNAcentral lists this ribosomal RNA (254 nucleotides) under uncultured bacterium. Its description in RNAcentral is "partial 16S ribosomal RNA". It matches the Rfam family "Bacterial small subunit ribosomal RNA", at positions 524 to 776 of the family's 1533-position model. The record is from RNAcentral.